UCGAACGAGUUCUCGUUGAUGAUCGGUGCUUGCACCGAGAUUCAACAUGGAACGAGUGGCGGACGGGUGAGUAACGCGUGGGUAACCUGCCCUUAAGUGGGGGAUAACAUUUGGAAACAGAUGCUAAUACCGCAUAGAUCCAAGAACCGCAUGGUUCUUGGCUGAAAGAUGGCGUAAGCUAUCGCUUUUGGAUGGACCCGCGGCGUAUUAGCUAGUUGGUGAGGUAAUGGCUCACCAAGGCGAUGAUACGUAGCCGAACUGAGAGGUUGAUCGGCCACAUUGGGACUGAGACACGGCCCAAACUCCUACGGGAGGCAGCAGUAGGGAAUCUUCCACAAUGGACGCAAGUCUGAUGGAGCAACGCCGCGUGAGUGAAGAAGGCUUUCGGGUCGUAAAACUCUGUUGUUGGAGAAGAAUGGUCGGCAGAGUAACUGUUGUCGGCGUGACGGUAUCCAACCAGAAAGCCACGGCUAACUACGUGCCAGCAGCCGCGGUAAUACGUAGGUGGCAAGCGUUAUCCGGAUUUAUUGGGCGUAAAGCGAGCGCAGGCGGUUUUUUAAGUCUGAUGUGAAAGCCCUCGGCUUAACCGAGGAAGCGCAUCGGAAACUGGGAAACUUGAGUGCAGAAGAGGACAGUGGAACUCCAUGUGUAGCGGUGAAAUGCGUAGAUAUAUGGAAGAACACCAGUGGCGAAGGCGGCUGUCUGGUCUGUAACUGACGCUGAGGCUCGAAAGCAUGGGUAGCGAACAGGAUUAGAUACCCUGGUAGUCCAUGCCGUAAACGAUGAAUGCUAGGUGUUGGAGGGUUUCCGCCCUUCAGUGCCGCAGCUAACGCAUUAAG
Molecule: ribosomal RNA, 839 nt
Filed under: uncultured bacterium
Lineage: Bacteria
Description: bacterial SSU rRNA
Rfam family: Bacterial small subunit ribosomal RNA
Source: RNAcentral